CUUGUAAGCUAUCGCUUUGCGAUGGGUCUGCGUCUGAUUAGCUAGUUGGUGGGGCAACGGCCUACCAAGGCGACGAUCAGUAGCCGGUCUGAGAGGAUGAACGGCCACAUUGGAACUGAGACACGGUCCAGACUCCUACGGGAGGCAGCAGUGGGGAAUCUUCCGCAAUGGGCGAAAGCCUGACGGAGCAACGCCGCGUGAGUGAAGAAGGUCUUCGGAUCGUAAAGCUCUGUUGUCGGGGACGAAUGUUGAGACCAAGAACAUAGGUUUCAAAUGACGGUACCUGACGAGGAAGCCACGGCUAACUACGUG
RNAcentral lists this ribosomal RNA (312 nucleotides) under uncultured bacterium. RNAcentral's name for it is "bacterial SSU rRNA". It matches the Rfam family "Bacterial small subunit ribosomal RNA", at positions 199 to 507 of the family's 1533-position model. The record is from RNAcentral.